AUGAACGCUGGCGGCAUGCCUAAGACAUGCAAGUCGAACGAGACGACCUUAGGAAACUAGAGUGCUUGCACGAAGUUGGAUCAAGAUCAUCGUCUAGUGGCAGACGGGUGAGUAACACGUGGGUAACCUACCUUUAAGCUGGGGAGUAACAGUUGGAAACGAUUGCUAAUACCGAAUAAGAUACUCGUAUUGAAAGAAGCCUUUAAAGCUUCAUUUAAAGAUGGGCCUGCGGCGUAUUAACUAGUUGGUGAGGUAAUGGCUCACCAAGGUAACGAUGCGUAGCCGAACUGAGAGGUUGAACGGCCACACUGGGACUGAGACACGGCCCAGACUCCUACGGGAGACAGCAGUUAGGAAUAUUCGUCAAUGGGGGAAACCCUGAACGAGCAAUGCCGCGUGAGUGAUGAAGGCCCUCUGGGUUGUAAAACUCUGUUGUAUGGGAAGAACGGACCUACUAGGAAAUGAGUGAGUAGUGACGGUACCAUGCGAGAAAGCUCCGGCUAACUACGUGCCAGCCGCCGC
RNAcentral lists this ribosomal RNA (522 nucleotides) under uncultured bacterium. Its description in RNAcentral is "bacterial SSU rRNA". It matches the Rfam family "Bacterial small subunit ribosomal RNA", at positions 29 to 518 of the family's 1533-position model. The record is from RNAcentral.